RNAcentral lists this ribosomal RNA (395 nucleotides) under Theileria sp. RNAcentral describes it as "SSU rRNA". It matches the Rfam family "Eukaryotic small subunit ribosomal RNA", at positions 472 to 908 of the family's 1831-position model. The record is from RNAcentral. Lineage: Eukaryota; Apicomplexa; Aconoidasida; Piroplasmida; Theileriidae.
AAGAAAUAACAAUACGGGGCUUAAUGUCUUGUAAUUGGAAUGAUGGGAAUUUAAACCUCUUCCAGAGUAUCAAUUGGAGGGCAAGUCUGGUGCCAGCAGCCGCGGUAAUUCCAGCUCCAAUAGCGUAUAUUAAAAUUGUUGCAGUUAAAAAGCUCGUAGUUGAAUUUCUGCUGCAUUUCAUUUCUCUUUCUGAGUUUGUUUUUGCGGCUUAUUUCGGUUUGAUUUUUUCUUUCCGGAUGAUUACUUUGAGAAAAUUAGAGUGCUCAAAGCAGGCUUUUGCCUUGAAUAGUUUAGCAUGGAAUAAUAAAGUAGGACUUUGGUUCUAUUUUGUUGGUUUUAGGUACCAAAGUAAUGGUUAAUAGGAACAGUUGGGGGCAUUCGUAUUUAACUGUCAG